Molecule: ribosomal RNA, 305 nt
Filed under: uncultured bacterium
Lineage: Bacteria
Description: partial 16S ribosomal RNA
Rfam family: Bacterial small subunit ribosomal RNA
Source: RNAcentral
ACAGCAGCAGCCGCGGUAAUACGAAGGGUGCAAGCGUUAAUCGGAAUUACUGGGCGUAAAGCGUGCGUAGGCGGUUUGUUAAGUCUGUUGUGAAAUCCCCGGGCUCAACCUGGGAAUGGCAGUGGAUACUGGCUCGCUAGAGCGUGUCAGAGGAUGGUGGAAUUCCCGGUGUAGCGGUGAAGUGCGUAGAGAUCGGGAGGAACAUCAGUGGCGAAGGCGGCCAUCUGGGACAACACUGACGCUGAGGCACGAAAGCGUGGGGAGCAAACAGGAUUAGAUACCCGCGUAGUCCCUGUCUCUUAUAC